UGAGGAAACUCACUGGAGUUCAUACUCCAGUAUCCUGUACUGAAUCCAUAGGUACAGGAGGGGAACCGCCUGAACUGAAACAUCUAAGUAGGGCGAGGAAGAGACAUCAAACGAGAUUCCGUAAGUAGUGGCGAGCGAACGCGGAAGAGGGCAAACCGAGAGUAGAAAUACUUUCGGGGUACGGACUGCUUUUAAGACUCAAUCUGUUAACCGAACGGCAUGGGAAGGCCGGUCAGAGAGUGUGAGAACCACGUAGGUGAAAACGGAGAGAGCUGCGCAGGAUCCAGAGUACGGCCAGACACGUGAAACCUGGUCGGAAUACGGGGGGACCACCCUCCAACCCUAAAUACUACCCAGUGACCGAUAGCGUAUAGUACUGUGAAGGAAAGGUGAAAAGCACCCCGGGAGGGGAGUGAAAAAGAACCUGAAACCCUGUGCCUACAAGCACCUAGAGCACGUCAAAGUGUGAUAGGGUACUUUUUGUAGAACGGUCCGGCGAGCGAUUGUAUGCAGCAAGGUUAAGGACUUAAGGUCUGGAGCCGAAGCGAAAGCGAGUUUGAAAAGGGCGUUAAGUUGCAUAUAAUGGGCCCGAAACCGGGUGACCUACCCAUGGUCAGGUUGAAGUGGAAGUAAAAUUCCAUGGAGGACCGAACCGACCUCCGUUGAAAAGGCGGCGGAUGAACUGUGGGUAGCGGAGAAAUUCCAAUCGAACCCGGAGAUAGCUGGUUCUCCCCGAAAUAGUUUUAGGACUAGCCUCAAGUUAGAUACCUGGAGGUAAAGCACUGAAUAGCCUAGCGGCCGAGAGGUUAGCGAAGCUUAUCAAACUCAGAAUGCCAGAGUAUUGAUGCUUGGGAGUCAGACAGUGUCAGAUAAAUGUCAUUGUCAAAAGGGAAACAGCCCAGAUCUACAGCUAAGGUCCCAAAGUCAGGUUAAGUGGAAAACGAUGUGAAGAUACGCAGACAACCAGGAUGUUGGCUCAGAAGCAGCCACUCAUUCAAAGAGUGCGUAAUAGCUCACUGGUCGAGCGUCUUUGCGCGGAGAAUUUAACGGGGCUAAACCUGACACCGAAGCUUAGGCAAUGUAGUAAUACAUUGGGUAGGGGAGCGUUGUAUACGCGGAGAAACAGUAGCGUAAGCGGCUGUGGAGUGUAUAGAAGUGAGAAUGCCGGAAUGAGUAGCGCGAAUGCAGUGAGAAUCUGCAUGGCCGAAAGCCUCAGGUUUUUGGAGGAAGGUUCGUCCGCUCCAAGUUAGUCGGGAGCUAAGGUGAGGCCGGAAGGCGUAGCCGAUGCACAGACGGUAGAGAUUCCGUCACCACCAAAAGAGUUAAGCACAGGGACACAUAUGAAGUCUCAGAGCCGGGUGUUGGUUCCGGUAGAGAUCGAGGGAAAUUAGUACCGAAGUCUGAGAUGGAAGAUGGCGAGAAAAGCUGUGUGUAUUUCUGAGGUGCCCGUACCGCAAACCGACACAGGUAGGUAGGAAGAAGAUUCUAAGGCCAACGGGAGAAGGGUUGUUAAGGAACUCGGCAAAUUGACCCCGUAACUUCGGGAGAAGGGGUGCUCCAGAGAUGGAGCCGCAGAGAAUCGGCCCAAGCAACUGUUUACCAAAAACACAGGUUUGUGCUAAAUCGAAAGAUGACGUAUACGAGCUGACGCCUGCCCGGUGCUGGAAGGUUAAGAGGAGAUGUGCAAGCAUUGAAUCGAAGCCCCAGUGAACGGCGGCCGUAACUAUAACGGUCCUAAGGUAGCGAAAUUCCUUGUCAGGUAAGUUCUGACCCGCAUGAAAGGCGUAAUGAUUUGGGCACUGUCUCAACAGCCCGCCCGGCGAAAUUGUAGUACCGGUGAAGAUGCCGGUUACCCGCGACAAGACGGAAAGACCCCAUGGAGCUUUACUGUAGCCUAAUAUUGGGUUUCGAUGUUGCAUGCACAGGAUAGAUGGGACUCUUGGAAACCAAGGCUUUGGCUUUGGCGGAGAGGCCGUUGGGAUACCAUCCUUGCGAUAUUGGAAUUCUAACCUGCGGCUCUGAAUCGAGUCGGGGGACAUUGUUAGGUGGGCAGUUUGACUGGGGCGGUCGCCUCCUAAAAAGUAACGGAGGCGUUCAAAGGUUCGCUCAGCUUGAACGGAAAUCAAGCAAAAGAGUGCAAACGCAGAAGCGAGCCUAACUGCGAGACUGACGGGUCGAGCAGUAACGAAAGUUGGAGUUAGUGAUCCGGUGGUAUGUGAGUGGAAAUGCCAUCGCUCAACGGAUAAAAGUUACCCUGGGGAUAACAGGCUGAUCUCCCCCAAGAGUCCACAUCGACGGGGAGGUUUGGCACCUCGAUGUCGGCUCAUCGCAUCCUGGGGCUGUAUUCGGUCCCAAGGGUUUGGCUGUUCGCCAAUUAAAGCGGUACGCGAGCUGGGUUCAGAACGUCGUGAGACAGUUCGGUCCCUAUCCGGCGUGGGCGUAGGAUAUCUGAGAGGAGCUGUCCUUAGUACGAGAGGACCGGGAUGGACGGACCACUGGUGUAUCUGUUGUCGACCAACGGCAUGGCAGAGUAGCCAAGUCUGGAAGGGAUAAACGCUGAAGGCAUCUAAGCGUGAAGCCCCCCUCAAGAUGAGAUAUCCCAUACGCAAGUAGUAAGACCCCUUGA
Molecule: ribosomal RNA, 2626 nt
Filed under: human gut metagenome
Description: bacterial LSU rRNA
Rfam family: Bacterial large subunit ribosomal RNA
Source: RNAcentral